CACCCUUGCUUCACAGACUUUUGGCAGGUCAGCUGUCUCCAACAGAAAUGACACUUGACCAGCUUUUAACUCUCCUCUAUGACCAAAACUUUCCUUAAGGUUACUGUUCAAUAGAUCUUACUGUUAAAUUGGAAUCAAAAGUCAUUACAGAUCCAAGUUGGUCAAAAACAGACUCUUUUAAAAGACUACAUCCUGAAAAAGGUCAUGGAGACUUAAUCGGUAGCUGUCCAGAGGAUGAAGCUCUUACCUUGAGUGAUAAGUGCAUGGAGUAUUGGAUGAAUCUUUGCUGGAAAUCUGUCCCACUCAGUCACCAUUUUAAGUUUUUGCAGGAGUGGGUGGACUAGCUCUUAUUGCAGAAACUAUCAUGCUCUAUCCAGAAGUGAUUCAGGAGGGGAGUGCUCCAGCGAUAGCUUCUACCACUCAGGAAAAGCCAAAGGAUAGUGAUCAGUUUGAAAGGUUGACCAUAAGAACAGUCAGGUGAAUUGGUUUAUGAAGCUCCAGAAAGUAUUGCAGCUGAGCCUAUGCCUGUUAAGUGAGUGGUGCAAGCCACUUCGCCUAUACCUGCCUAUUCUUUGGCUGUUUUUGCAUUAUUUGUCUUCUGGACUAUGCUGAUGUGUUCCUAAAAGAGAGAAAGUGUGCCCAAUGCCAUCUUUGAUUGGUAUUGGGAGUUACAGUUGAUGGAGAAGGCAGUCACAUUCUGCAAUCUCCAUCAGCCAAUUCGCUUCCAACCCUUCCUUUCCACAUCUUUGCAACUUGUUUAGUGCUACUCCCUUGACAACUGAUGAUGGUGUGUUUCUGCAGUGGAUGGAACUGGAAAUUAGAACUUUGCCCCUAAUUCUUGUCUGUCUCUCAUCUCUGAGCCAUCAUGCACUGAGUUCCAAGCUCUAGCCUUAACCAAACUGAGCCACAGGUCUCAAAUUCUCAUAACCCCACAUCAACAGAAGAACAGCAGCUGAAUUGGGCCAAAGGGACUAGCUUUGGCACAGGUUCCACAGCAUCAGGAUGGGACAUGGAAUAAGCCUUAACUAAACAGAUGCUAGAAAAGGAGCAUGUGAUCUAUUUUUUGCAGGUUCUUGUGAGUUACAUAAACUCCAUGAGUAGUGCUGUAAAAGGGGAAGCCCAGGUGUCUCCAGAGAGCCAAGAACAGAAAAGCAGUGCUCUGCCCUCUGCUUCUGGAGCUUUUCAGUCAGUUCUGCCUCAUCCCAGUCAUGUACUAUGCAAUGACUCUGUUCUGGACAUGGCAAGAUAUGUGUAACUCUAUGGUGCUAGAGUUGCUCAAGGCCAUUGAUUCUUGUACCUCUAUAGUGCUGCUGUUGUUGCCUCUUUCUACAGAUAAGGGUGAAGAAUAGGAAGAAGGUCAGAAUGUCAGACUUCUGUUGGUACAUUAUGAGCCAAAAUAAGACCUGUGUUGGAACGCACACCAACCAUCUAAGAUCUGAAAAGAAAAAUGUUAAAACAGGAGUUAGUCCAGAUACACCUGAUCAAGAACCAGAAGGACUUACUCUUCUGAUCCCAGACAUCCAGAAGACAACUGAGAUUGUCUACACAGCCACCACCAAUCUCUGACAAGCAAAUCAAGAAAAAAAACAAAAAACAAAACAAAACAAAACAAAACAAAACAAAACAAAACAAACUAGGUGAAUACUCAAAGAAAGUGGCUAUGAAACCCAAACAUCUGUCAGAAUUAAAAUCACUUGAAGAAAAAUAUGUGGCUGUCAUGUAAAAAACUGCAGUUUAAUACAUUUGAAAUGAUUUCAGAAGAUGAUGAUGGAAAAUUUGGUUUUAAAGUAAAGUACCACUACAUGUCUCAGGUGAAAAAUGCCAAUGAUGCCAACAGUGCUGCCAGAGGCCACUGACUGGCUCAAGAAGUGGUGAGACUUUCAACCUCACUGUCUCUGUCAUUGUCUUCUACUGCAUUUUUACACUGUAACAAUGAGGAACGACGUGACAUCCUGAAGGUUCUGAUAACUGGGCCAGCAGACACCGUCAAUGCAAAUGUCUGCUUUGUGUUUGAUGUAUAUUUUCCUCAAGAUUUUCCUAGCUCACCUCCUCUUAUGAACCUAGAAAGAACUGGGGUUCAUAGCAUGCACUUCAAUCCCAACCUUUACAAGAUGGAAAAGUUUGUUUAAGCAUCCUGAAUAAGUUACAUGGAACACCAGAAGAGGAGUAGAAUCCAUAGACAUUAAGCUUUUUGCAAGUGUAGGUUUCUGUUCAGUCUCUAAUAUUAGUAGCUGAGCCUUCAAUAAACCAGGAUAAGAAUGGUCUAGAGGCACUCCCAGUAGCACACAGAGCUCUCUAGAUUAUGAUGGAAACAUUAGACAAGCAACAGUUAAAUGGGCAAUGCUAGUACAAAUCAGAAAUGCUUCACUGUGCUUUAAAGUUAUAUACAAACAUUUUUACUUGAAAAAAUGAGGUCAUGGCCCAGUGUGAGGAGUGGAUUGCAGACAAGCAGGAGUAGAGCAGUGAUAUGAGAGCAGGACAAUGUCUCACCAAGCAGCAGCUCUCAAGCUCCACACUGCUUAGCUCCGAGAAGAGUUACUGAAACUUCACUGCCUUGAAGGCUUAGAUCCAGACAUUGAGGAUGUCUCACUGGUGUACAGGGCCUCAGCUGGUGCUGAAGAAACUGACA
This 2629-nucleotide long non-coding RNA is filed under the name Mus musculus (house mouse). RNAcentral describes it as "long non-coding RNA chrX:110604496-110607125". The record is from RNAcentral. Lineage: Eukaryota; Metazoa; Chordata; Mammalia; Rodentia; Muridae.